This 300-nucleotide ribosomal RNA is filed under the name uncultured Thermodiscus sp. RNAcentral's name for it is "bacterial SSU rRNA". The stretch from base 52 to 300 matches the Rfam family "Bacterial small subunit ribosomal RNA", at positions 547 to 795 of the family's 1533-position model. Lineage: Archaea; Thermoproteati; Thermoproteota; Thermoprotei; Acidilobales; Acidilobaceae. The record is from RNAcentral.
UGAAGUGGGGAGCGAGCAGCAGCGGAAGAGGGAAGUUGGGGAACGUUAUUGGGAAGCUCUGGGCGUAAAGGGUGCGUGGGCGGCGGCACAAGGCAGGGGGGAAAUCCCCCGGCUCAACCGGGGAAUAGCGCUUGAAACUAGGGCGCUCGAGUGAGGCAGGGGGGCAGGGAACUUCCGGUGGAGCGGGGAAAGGUGUAGAGAUCGGAAGGAACGCCGGCGGCGAAAGCGGUGCACUGGGCCUUGUCUGACGCUGAGGCACGAAAGCUAGGGGAGUGAACGGGAUUAGAUACCCGAGUAGUC